CAGGGGCGAUACCAUCAUCGCGAAGGCUGUUCACCCAGGGCGAGGCUCUGCCGUUGCACUUGGGUGGUGCUGACCCUUGCGAAUUCCUCAAAUGCAGGAAUCUCGACUG
Pygocentrus nattereri (red-bellied piranha) is the source of this 109-nucleotide small nuclear RNA. Its record names the gene U1. It matches the Rfam family "U1 spliceosomal RNA". Rfam says of the family: U1 is a small nuclear RNA (snRNA) component of the spliceosome (involved in pre-mRNA splicing). Its 5' end forms complementary base pairs with the 5' splice junction, thus defining the 5' donor site of an intron. The record is from Ensembl. NCBI's taxonomy places the organism in Eukaryota, Metazoa, Chordata, Actinopteri, Characiformes, Serrasalmidae.